GGCGCUAUAGCCAAGUGGUUACGGCGACAGAUUCGAAUACUCGGCUAUCUGUUCCUCUUUGAGGGCGCAGGUUCAAAUCCUGCUGGCGUCG
RNAcentral lists this transfer RNA (91 nucleotides) under Lentinula edodes (shiitake mushroom). RNAcentral's name for it is "tRNA-Ser". It matches the Rfam family "tRNA". Rfam says of the family: Transfer RNA (tRNA) molecules are approximately 80 nucleotides in length. Lineage: Eukaryota; Fungi; Basidiomycota; Agaricomycetes; Agaricales; Omphalotaceae. RNAcentral also lists the same sequence under 1 other name. The record is from RNAcentral.